This 505-nucleotide ribosomal RNA is filed under the name Clymenella cf. koellikeri GK-2018. RNAcentral's name for it is "partial 16S ribosomal RNA". It matches the Rfam family "Bacterial large subunit ribosomal RNA", at positions 1829 to 2597 of the family's 2925-position model. Lineage: Eukaryota; Metazoa; Annelida; Polychaeta; Maldanidae. The record is from RNAcentral.
UGCCUUAUGACAACACAUAUAAGGUAAAACCUGCCCAGUGACUCACGAGUUAAACGGCCGCGGUACCCUGACCGUGCUAAGGUAGCAUAUAAUUUGCCCUUUAAUUGUGGGCUAGAAUGAAUGGAUAAACGAAUGUUAAGCUGUCUCGAAAAUAUCCAUAGAAAUUUACCUUUAGGUGAAGAGGCCUAAAUAAAAUUAAAAGACAAAAAGACCCCGUAGAGCUUAACUAACUCCUCGUAGUAAAAAAAUAUAUUACAUUUUUCACUUACACACCAAUUAGUUUAACUGGGGCGGUUAAGGAGCACCUACCCUCCUUUUAAUUCCAAGGUCCCGUACCAAAAUAGAUCCUUUAUAGAUUUAAGAAAAAAGCUACCUCGGGGAUAACAGGCUUAUAUCUUUUAAGAGUACAUAUCGAAAAAGAAGUUUGGCACCUCGAUGUUGGCUUAGAGAACCCAGGAGAUAGUAGCAGUCUCCAAAGGCAGGUUUGUUCAACCUUUAAUUCUCU